This is a regulatory RNA element of Astyanax mexicanus (Mexican tetra), 114 nucleotides long. It matches the Rfam family "Potassium channel RNA editing signal". Rfam says of the family: This family represents a group of sequences related to the human potassium channel Kv1.1 hairpin element which directs the efficient modification of an adenosine to inosine by an adenosine deaminase acting on RNA (ADAR). The ADAR modification causes an isoleucine/valine recoding event which lies in the ion-conducting pore of the potassium channel. Lineage: Eukaryota; Metazoa; Chordata; Actinopteri; Characiformes; Acestrorhamphidae. The record is from Rfam.
GUGGGCUACGGAGACAUGAGCCCCGUUACUGUCGGAGGCAAGAUCGUGGGGUCAAUGUGCGCCGUGGCCGGUGUGCUGACCAUUGCCCUGCCCGUGCCGGUCAUAGUGGCCAAC